This 439-nucleotide ribosomal RNA is filed under the name uncultured bacterium. RNAcentral describes it as "partial 16S ribosomal RNA". It matches the Rfam family "Bacterial small subunit ribosomal RNA", at positions 339 to 795 of the family's 1533-position model. The record is from RNAcentral.
CUACGGGUGGCUCCAGUGAGGAAUAUUGCACAAUGGGGGGAACCCUGAUGCAGCAACGCCGCGUGGAGGAUGACGCAUUUCGGUGUGUAAACUCCUUUUAUAUGUCAAGAAAAUGACGGUAGCAUAUGAAUAAGCACCGGCUAACUCCGUGCCAGCAGCCGCGGUAAUACGGAGGGUGCAAGCGUUACUCGGAAUCACUGGGCGUAAAGGACGCGUAGGCGGGUUGGAAAGUCAGGUGUGAAAUCCUACAGCUUAACUGUAGAACUGCACUUAAAACUUCUAAUCUAGAGUAUGGGAGGGGGAGAUGGAAUUAGUGGUGUAGGGGUAAGAUCCGUAGAUAUCACUAGGAAUACCUAAAGCGAAGGCGAUCUCCUGGAACAUUACUGACGCUAAGGCGUGAAAGCGUGGGGAGCAAACAGGAUUAGAUACCCUAGUAGUC